Molecule: ribosomal RNA, 322 nt
Filed under: uncultured eukaryote
Lineage: Eukaryota
Description: partial 18S ribosomal RNA
Rfam family: Eukaryotic small subunit ribosomal RNA
Source: RNAcentral
CCCUUAGAUGUUCUGGGCCGCACGCGUGCUACACUGAGUAAUUCAAUGGGUAAGGGAACGCUAGAGCAUUACCUAAUCUUGAAAUUUGCUCGUGAUGGGGAUCGACGGUUGCAAUUUUCCGUCGUGAACGAGGAAUACCUUGUAGGCGCAUGUCAUCAUCAUGCGCCGAAUACGUCCCUGCCCUUUGUACACACCGCCCGUCGCUCCUACCGAUUGAGUGAUCCGGUGAGGCUCUGGGACCUGGACGGAAAGAGCGUUUCGCUUGUUCUGUUUGGGAAACUUGGUCGAACCUUAUCAUUUAGAGGAAGGGGAAGUCGUAACA